Molecule: ribosomal RNA, 363 nt
Filed under: uncultured archaeon
Lineage: Archaea
Description: bacterial SSU rRNA
Rfam family: Archaeal small subunit ribosomal RNA
Source: RNAcentral
GCUCUUUUUGUAAGUUUUCGGUUAAAUCCAUGCGUUUAACGUAUGGGUUGCCGGGAAUAUUGCAUAACUAGGAAGUGGGAGAGGUAGACGGUACUUGGUAGGAAGGGGUAAAAUCCUUUGAUUUAUUGAUGACCACCUGUGGCGAAGGCGGUGUACCAGAACACGUUCGUCGGUGAGGGAUGAAAGCUGGGGGAGCAAACCGGAUUAGAUACCCGGGUAGUCCCAGCUGUAAACUAUGCAAACUCAGUGAUGCAUUGGCUUGUGGCCAAUCCAUUUUUGUGGGGAAGCCGUUAAGUUUGCCGCCUGGGAAGUACGUACGCAAGUAUGUAUCUUAAAGGAAUUGGGGGGGGAGCACCACAAGGG